GCCGCCGCGGUAAUAACCGCGCCGCAAGGGGUAGUCACGAUUAUUCCGGUCUAAAGCGUCCGUAGCCGGCUUGAUAAGUCUCUGGUGAAAUUCUACAGAAAACUGUGGAAACGGCUGGAGAUACUGUCAGGCUUGGGACCGGGAGAGGUCGAGGGUACGUCAUGGGUAAGGGUAAAAUCUUUUAAUCCUUGACGGACCACCUGUGGCGAA
This 210-nucleotide ribosomal RNA is filed under the name uncultured archaeon. Its description in RNAcentral is "partial 16S ribosomal RNA". It matches the Rfam family "Archaeal small subunit ribosomal RNA", at positions 461 to 670 of the family's 1478-position model. The record is from RNAcentral.